This 798-nucleotide ribosomal RNA is filed under the name uncultured bacterium. Its description in RNAcentral is "bacterial SSU rRNA". It matches the Rfam family "Bacterial small subunit ribosomal RNA", at positions 66 to 835 of the family's 1533-position model. The record is from RNAcentral.
ACGCUUCUUUUCUACCGAGUGCUUGCACUCAUUUGAAAAGAGGAGUGGCGGACGGGUGAGUAACACGUGGGUAACCUGCCCAUCAGAGGGGGAUAACACUUGGAAACAGGUGCUAAUACCGCAUAAUAGUCGACACCGCAUGGUGUUGAUUUGAAAGACGCUUUCGGGUGUCACUGAUGGAUGGACCCGCGGUGCAUUAGCUAGUUGGUGAGGUAACGGCUCACCAAGGCGAUGAUGCAUAGCCGACCUGAGAGGGUGAUCGGCCACACUGGGACUGAGACACGGCCCAGACUCCUACGGGAGGCAGCAGUAGGGAAUCUUCGGCAAUGGACGAAAGUCUGACCGAGCAACGCCGCGUGAGUGAAGAAGGUUUUCGGAUCGUAAAACUCUGUUGUUAGAGAAGAACAAGUAGGAGAGUAACUGCUCUUACCUUGACGGUAUCUAACCAGAAAGCCACGGCUAGCUACGUGCCAGCAGCCGCGGUAAUACGUAGGUGGCAAGCGUUGUCCGGAUUUAUUGGGCGUAAAGCGAGCGCAGGCGGUUUCUUAAGUCUGAUGUGAAAGCCCCCGGCUCAACCGGGGAGGGUCAUUGGAAACUGGGAGACUUGAGUGCAGAAGAGGAGAGUGGAAUUCCAUGUGUAGCGGUGAAAUGCGUAGAUAUAUGGAGGAACACCGUGGCGAAGGCGACUCUCUGGGCUGUAACUGACGCUGAGGCUCGAAGCGUGGGGGGCAAACAGGAUUAGAUACCCCUGGUAGUCCACGCCGUAAACGAUGAGUGGCUAAGUGUUGGAGGGUUUCC